GCGGCGAGCGAACGGGGAGCAGCCCAGAGCCUGAAUCAGUGUGUGUGUUAGUGGAAGCGUCUGGAAAGGCGCGCGAUACAGGGUGACAGCCCCGUACACAAAAAUGCACAUGCUGUGAGCUCGAUGAGUAGGGCGGGACACGUGGUAUCCUGUCUGAAUAUGGGGGGACCAUCCUCCAAGGCUAAAUACUCCUGACUGACCGAUAGUGAACCAGUACCGUGAGG
RNAcentral lists this ribosomal RNA (224 nucleotides) under Escherichia coli. RNAcentral describes it as "partial 23S ribosomal RNA". It matches the Rfam family "Bacterial large subunit ribosomal RNA", at positions 246 to 508 of the family's 2925-position model. Lineage: Bacteria; Pseudomonadati; Pseudomonadota; Gammaproteobacteria; Enterobacterales; Enterobacteriaceae. The record is from RNAcentral.